GACAGAGGAGCCAAGCGUUGUCCGGAGUAACUGGGCGUAAAGCGUCCGCAGGCGGCGCGACACGUGGGGUGUGAAAGCUGGCGGCUUAACUGCCAGAGGCCACCUCAUACGGUCGGGCUUGAGCCCGGCAGAGGUCCGUGGAAUUGCCGGUGUAGUGGUGAAAUGCGUAGAGAUCGGCAGGAACACCCAGGGGGAAACCAGCGGACUGGGCCGGUGCUGACGCUCAGGGACGAAAGCGUGGGGAGCCAACGGG
Molecule: ribosomal RNA, 253 nt
Filed under: uncultured bacterium
Lineage: Bacteria
Description: partial 16S ribosomal RNA
Rfam family: Bacterial small subunit ribosomal RNA
Source: RNAcentral